Chelonoidis abingdonii (Abingdon island giant tortoise) is the source of this 3267-nucleotide non-coding RNA. Lineage: Eukaryota; Metazoa; Chordata; Testudines; Testudinidae. The record is from RefSeq and is a predicted model, not a curated record.
GAGGGGGGGGCGGAAGGGGCAGAGAGCAGUUUGGGCAAGUGCGCUGUUCUAGCUAAAUUUUUCACUGCAUCAUGAAAGGGGGCCGGCAACUAGGUUCUUGCAUUAUACAACUUCCAGAAGGCAGAUGUGCACACGAUAGAGAAUCUGUACGCUUUAGGGUUGCUACUCUGCAGAGAUCAUUUUUGCACUUCCAUGGAAGUGCAUGAACAUGACUGUUAGCCAGGUCCUGAUGCUAGCAUCCAUAGCAGUUUUCAUUGUAACAAACUUAGGGAGAGAGUUACUCUUGCCCUCCCUAUGAAACCCACUGUGUGUAUGGUAAGAGCUGUUGAAAGCAGAAUUAUUGCGGAAGAUGAUUAAGCAGUGAAUAGACAUUUGUCUUUCAAACUAGCUUUUGAGGGGUUGAAGUGUUCAACCUCAUUACCACUCAGCCAUUCCCUUUUAAGACAGUUCUGUGGACAACCUUGUAAGAGAAUCUCUGCUUGACCCCCCUGCCCCUCUAGUCCUGUUGCUUAGUUUCCACAGCGUUUUUACUGUGUGCAUUGCCAGGGUGUGCUCUGCUUCCUGCAGUUUGAGAAUCUAGCUAAGUUAAAGCCAGCCUCACUGCUAACCAGCUCCCUCUGCUGAGCCAAAAGCCAGUUAUGAUUUCUAUACACUUAAUUUUUCAGUAUAUAAAAUCACCUGAUAGUAGUUUCCUCCCCAUAGUGUCCACUUUUUUGUGUGGAUGGGAGUGGGGCAGAAAGGCCUGCGGUGUACUGAAUUACAGCCUAGCCAAUUGUAAAGGUCUCCUUGAUACUUUGGGGGAUUUGUUGGGGCAGCUCUUGCUGAUGUAGCACAGCAGUAGCAUACAUCUUUGUGCUCGAUGUCGCCCUCGCCUUUAACAGGUAAAGCAGCAGUAUUUUUAAAAAUUGAUCAUCUUCCAUGCUACUGCAACAGACCUUCAUAGCAAAGGGCAGUAAGGUCACUUGUAGCCUCAGGUAGGAAGAGGAAUUGGCCUAUUUGCUCAAAUUAUGCACAGGAGGUGAAGUGUAAAGUAACCUAAGCUGAGGUUAAUGCUCUGAGAACAACUUACCGAUCGCUCCUCUGAUAUACCUGCCUACUAUGCAGUACAAUAAUAUAAGGUCAUUUCCCUAAAGGCUAGGUGUAAUGUAAGUAUUUCUUUGUUAACCAUUGCACCCCAGCAUAGCAGUAGUCUUAGCAAAGCCUCUGAUCACAGCUCCUUUAGGACUUCAAUAGUGCAAAAUCAGGCCCUUCUUUUUUACCUCUUGUUUUGCUUAUUUAUGCACCCAACCUUUUGCUCCAGGAAUGUCACUUAGUGUAUCAAACUUUUUGAAGUGGGAGGACUUUGGUCCUCUUUCAAAACUGUCUAGGGUAUUUUUUCCUCAUAGCCCAAGCCCGGUGGAGUUGCCUCCUCUUCCAUGGGCAAGAGAAGAGCCAGGUGGGAUUGGAAAAGCACACAAGCAGUCCCAUCUCCAUGAGGGGAGCGAAGCUAGGACAGUGCGCCAGUUGGAAGACUAUGCUUCAGCUCCUACAGCCUGCACCAACAGCCAUGCCUCUGACUGUAGAGUUCAGCUACCUCAUGGAUGGAGGGCACAGGACACAGCACAACUGUUACCAAUUUCAGAAAGUGGUAAGGGGCCUUGAGCCCUAGCUUUCUCCCCCUGCUGCCCCUGACAGUCAGGGGCUCAACAAUUCUAGCUGGUAAAUUUUUACCUGAGACUAACUUUUCUUACUCUACAGGCCCUUCACAGGCAGCUAAGCCUAGGCUGGCAUCUCAGUGAAAACUCAAGCCAAAAAACUAAAUAUGAUCUAUCAAAGUGCCCCUGCCUGCUUUCACAAGCAGUGCUAACGUGGGUGGACAGUAUUUCAAGUAUGGUCCUUCUCAACCUAAAAAUCAUAUGGCUUCUCCCUGAGGUAGGGAGAGUGGGGACUUAAAUCUGUUUCAGGAAAGUAUAGGAGACUUUAAUCCUUGAGAUCAGAUGUUGAGAAGUUCCAGCUGUUAACGAAUAGAUUUAAGUAUGGACUUUGCACCAGCCAGUAGAAUAACUACCGUGUUAAAUAAAACCCUUUUGAGUUUUAUUAUAGGUAUAUUAAAUGUCCAAGCAAAAAAGCUAAGUGGCUGGAGUGCACCAGGCUUAGCAUGUUAUGAAUCUUUUUUUUGAUGAAUCCUAACAUGAAAUGCUUCCUUAGGGCAACCAACUUAUUCCAGUUCCAUGUUGUCAUAGAACAUGACCAUCAAAACACAUUCUGCUCCUCACUGCACUAUCCAGAUGGAACAUGGAUGUGGGGAACUCCCACAAGACAUAGUAUUGUACUUUUAAUUCAGAAGGUAGGCCUCAUGCAUGUCAGUGUGUAAAUUCUGUAAGUAAACUAGAAAUAUUGCUCUUCCGUUAGUGCUCAGGACUGGACUUGGAUGCUUGAGAAUCACAGGGCAGAACAGUCAUGUCUACUCUACUGAGACUGCCUUCAUCAAAUUCUGCAUCUCAGUCAACCAGUCUUCCGCCAAAAGAAAGGAAAUGGCAUUGGCUAAGUCUUCUCCAGGGCAGAUGUCCUGCUUCCCACCCUGGAGGUGCACGGCUAUGAAAAUCCCAUUGUAAUGGAGCUGUGGCCUCUAGAUAAAUUUCCAGGCUGUGCCAACGUGAGUUACUUUCUUCAGGCAAUAAGGUCCACAGAGCUGGCACACCCUACAGUCAAUUUCCAUCUCAAUUCCGAAGGAUCCGCUUACUUAACGUUCAAGGACUUAAAUUUUACUUAAUGAGGACAAGUCUACCAUACUUUGCUUGGAGAAAUUGUUUUUUCCUCAAAGUAUAUUUAACAAUGUGACUUAAAGUAGAUUUGAAGUUAUCCUGGCUGUGCAAGUGCUUAACAAGAGGGAACUACAGGUAUGGGGUAUUCCCUGCUGCCAAGUCUGAUCCCCAAGCUCCAGGCAGGCUCAAGUACCAUUGUAAAAGAUCUAUAGAGCUUGUUCCUCAAAGAAAGGAAUUCUUCAGCUUUGCCUACUUAGGCAAACAAGGAAAAUUUUGCCUAGCCCAAAAAGGAAUGUUCUUUAAAAUGCCAGAAUGGACUUUCAAGGUAAACCUUAUUCUCCCCCAUUACUUUUCUGAAAAACAUUUAAAACAUAAGUGAUCCAAAUCCUUGUUAUAUCCCCACUGCUUUAAUAUAUUCACAUCACAAUCAAACUCCUCCUUCUUAAAACAGGAUUUAGGGGUUGCAUUACAAUGUUUGAGCACCACAAGUCUCAGUAGGAACACUCUUCCUCCAUAACUAGCA